UACGGGGGGGGCAAGCGUUGUUCGGAAUUACUGGGCGUAAAGGGCUCGUAGGCGGCCAACUAAGUCAGACGUGAAAUCCCUCGGCUUAACCGGGGAACUGCAUCUGAUACUGGAUGGCUUGAGAUUGGGAGAGGGAUGCGGAAUUCCAGGUGUAGCGGUGAAAUGCGUAGAUAUCUGGAGGAACACCGGUGGCGAAGGCGGUUCUCUGGGCCUGGCCUGACGCUGAGGAGCGAAAGCGUGGGGAGCGAACAGG
RNAcentral lists this ribosomal RNA (253 nucleotides) under uncultured bacterium. Its description in RNAcentral is "partial 16S ribosomal RNA". It matches the Rfam family "Bacterial small subunit ribosomal RNA", at positions 524 to 776 of the family's 1533-position model. The record is from RNAcentral.